AGGGCGCUUUGGCUUUGGCAGCGGUCCAAGUUCCUUGGAACAGGACGUCACAGAGGGUGAGAAUCCCGUACGUGGUCGCUGGCUAUUGCCGUGUAAAGCCCCUUCGACGAGUCGAGUUGUUUGGGAAUGCAGCUCUAAAUGGGAGGUACAUUUCUUCUAAAGCUAAAUAUUGGCCAGAGACCGAUAGCGCACAAGUAGAGUGAUCGAAAGAUGAAAAGCACUUUGGAAAGAGAGUCAAACAGCACGUGAAAUUGUUGAAAGGGAAGCGCUUGCAGCCAGACUUGCUUACAGUUGCUCAUCCGGGUUUCUACCCGGUGCACUCUUCUGUAGGCAGGCCAGCAUCAGUUUGGGCGGUAGGAUAAAGGUCUCUGUCACGUACCUCCUUUCGGGGAGGCCUUAUAGGGGAGACGACAUACUACCAGCCUGGACUGAGGUCCGCGCAUCUGCUAGGAUGCUGGCGUAAUGGCUGUAAGCGGGCCGUC
RNAcentral lists this ribosomal RNA (482 nucleotides) under Alternaria sp. W13. Its description in RNAcentral is "eukaryotic LSU rRNA". It matches the Rfam family "Eukaryotic large subunit ribosomal RNA", at positions 156 to 653 of the family's 3401-position model. Lineage: Eukaryota; Fungi; Ascomycota; Dothideomycetes; Pleosporales; Pleosporaceae. The record is from RNAcentral.